Molecule: ribosomal RNA, 468 nt
Filed under: uncultured bacterium
Lineage: Bacteria
Description: partial 16S ribosomal RNA
Rfam family: Bacterial small subunit ribosomal RNA
Source: RNAcentral
GACGAACGCUGGCGGCGUGCUUAACACAUGCAAGUCGAACGGAAAGGCCCUGCUUUUGUGGGGUGCUCGAGUGGCGAACGGGUGAGUAACACGUGAGUAACCUGCCCUUGACUUUGGGAUAACUUCAGGAAACUGGGGCUAAUACCGGAUAGGAGCUCCUGCUGCAUGUUGGGGGUUGGAAAGUUUCGGCGGUUGGGGAUGGACUCGCGGCUUAUCAGCUUGUUGGUGGGGUAGUGGCUUACCAAGGCUUUGACGGGUAGCCGGCCUGAGAGGGUGACCGGCCACAUUGGGACUGAGAUACGGCCCAGACUCCUACGGGAGGCAGCAGUGGGGAAUAUUGCACAAUGGGCGGAAGCCUGAUGCAGCAACGCCGCGUGCGGGAUGACGGCCUUCGGGUUGUAAACCGCUUUCGCCUGUGACGAAGCGUGAGUGACGGUAAUGGGUAAAGAAGCACCGGAUAACUACGUG